CAGACCACAUAUGCAACAAUAGUCCCAUGAUUCUAAUGGAGCUGAAAGACUCCUUUCAUCUAGUAAUAUCAUAGCCCUAAACAAACCUACUGUGCUGCCAAUUAUAUGUAAGUAUAGCACAUAUGAUUAUGUACCUUGCAUAGUACUUGAUAAUGAUAAUAAAUGACAGAAGAAACUAUUUCUAUACAGCUGUAUGAAUUGUUUGUAUUUUAGAAAUUAUUAGAAAAGAAAUUAAAAAGUUUAUAAAGUAAAAAAUUACAAUAAGCUAAAGUUAAUUUAUUAUUGAAGAAAGAAAACUAUUCUUAUAAAUUUGGUGUAGACUAAGUGUCCAUCUUUUAGCUGCUUACAGUAAAAUUAGAGAGAAGAGAAAUGAUUUUAAGAUGGAAUUAAUAAUUAAAACAGAAGCAGAAUAGAAAGAUUUGGAAAACUCUCAGACUGGCCAUGUAAACAAUAAUAAAGCAUGCUUGGGAGAGAAUACUAACCGUGUGGUCAAGCGACUGUUUGCUAAAAAUAGUAAUAUGGAUGGAAGGAAGAUAGAUCCUAUUCAUCAAGAAUAUGGGACAAAGAUCAUCUAGGCAUUUCAGAUAUGUUCAGGACUGCCCCUCCAAUCACAGGCCCAGAGCAGGACCUUGAAGGCAAGGUUUCCAGAGAGAUGCUCUAAAGGCCUCAUGAUUUGUUGUCCUACACCACCUCCAGGGCAGGACACCUCUGUUUCUUCAUCCCAAUGCAGCACUCCUGGGCCACCCCAGGAGUAAAUAUGGCUUAAGUGGGCCUAGGUGCAGCUUGGGCUGCUUGGUCUGCCACUUUGGAGGGCAAAAGCAGUGGGCCUUGGCAGUGUCCACAUAUAACUAACUCUGAAAGUGCACAUAGUUUGCAAGUUAUGGGGCCACGGUAGCCUCCACCAAGAUUUCACAAGAUGUCGUGGACAGCUUGGGGCCCAGGCAGAAACUUGUCACAGAGGCAGAAUCACC
Molecule: long non-coding RNA, 971 nt
Filed under: Homo sapiens (human)
Lineage: Eukaryota; Metazoa; Chordata; Mammalia; Primates; Hominidae
Description: non-protein coding lnc-CSTF2T-2:2
Source: RNAcentral